RNAcentral lists this ribosomal RNA (352 nucleotides) under Eukaryota sp. Its description in RNAcentral is "SSU rRNA". It matches the Rfam family "Eukaryotic small subunit ribosomal RNA", at positions 1325 to 1700 of the family's 1831-position model. The record is from RNAcentral.
UCGAUAACGAACGAGACCUUAUCCUGCUAAAUAGGCGGCGCUGCCCUCGUGGCAGUGUUUCCGCCUUCUUAGAGGGACUAUCUGUGACUAACAGAUGGAAGAAAGGCAAUAACAGGUCUGUGAUGCCCUUAGAUGUUCUGGGCCGCACGCGCGCUACACUGACAAAGCCAGCGAGUCUCCUGGACCGGAAGGUUUGGGUAAUCUUGUGAAACUUUGUCGUGAUGGGGAUUGACCAUUGCAAUUAUUGGUCAUGAACGAGGAAUUCCUAGUAAGUGCGAGUCAUCAGCUCGCGCUGAUUACGUCCCUGUCCUUUGUACACACCGCCCGUCGAUAAUACCGAUUGAAUGGAUCG